CCUGAUCAUCAUCAAUCAUCCCCCCAAAUCCAUCAUGAGUUUCUCAUCAUCAUCAUCCAUGAGUUUCCUGAUCAUCAUCAUCAUCGAGUCCUGAUCAUCAUCAUCAUCAUGAGCCCUGAGCAUCAUCAUCAUCAGUCCUGAUCAUCAUCAUGAGUCCUGAUCAUCAUCAUCAUGAGUCCUGAUCAUCAUCAUCAUGAGUCCUGAUCAUCAUCAUUAUCAUGAGUCCUGAUCAUCAUCAUCAUCAUCAUGAGGCCCGAUCAUCAUUACCGUCAUCAUCAUGAGUCUUGAUCAUCAUCAUUAUCAUCAUGAGUC
This 312-nucleotide long non-coding RNA is filed under the name Cercocebus atys (sooty mangabey). RNAcentral describes it as "lncRNA (ENSCATG00000045524.1)". The record is from RNAcentral. Lineage: Eukaryota; Metazoa; Chordata; Mammalia; Primates; Cercopithecidae.